Molecule: ribosomal RNA, 484 nt
Filed under: uncultured bacterium
Lineage: Bacteria
Description: partial 16S ribosomal RNA
Rfam family: Bacterial small subunit ribosomal RNA
Source: RNAcentral
AUUGAACGCUGGCGGCAGGCCUAACACAUGCAAGUCGAGCGGAUGAAGGGAGCUUGCUCCUGGAUUCAGCGGCGGACGGGUGAGUAAUGCCUAGGAAUCUGCCUGGUAGUUGGGGAUAACGUCCGGAAACGGGCGCUAAUACCGCAUACGUCCUGAGGGAGAAAGUGGGGGAUCUUCGGACCUCACGCUAUCAGAUGAGCCUAGGUCGGAUUAGCUAGUUGGUGGGGUAAAGGCCUACCAAGGCGACGAUCCGUAACUGGUCUGAGAGGAUGAUCAGUCACACUGGAACUGAGACACGGUCCAGACUCCUACGGGAGGCAGCAGUGGGGAAUAUUGGACAAUGGGCGAAAGCCUGAUCCAGCCAUGCCGCGUGUGUGAAGAAGGUCUUCGGAUUGUAAAGCACUUUAAGUUGGGAGGAAGGGCAGUAAGUUAAUACCUUGCUGUUUUGACGUUACCAACAGAAUAAGCAACGGCUAACUUCGUG